AUCGUCAGCAAGGUUCAGAAGGAGGUAUCGACCAAUUAAUUGGCAUGUAAAAUUGACAGGCUUUAUUAGUCAGCCUUGAGAUAAAACAUCUAUUUGGUGGUUUCUGUUUGCUCAAAAAGUAUUAAAUAACUAUGAUGCGCCAGACAUUAUGAAAUUCUUAGGACACUUAUUCAUUUAACUUUUUCUUUCUCCAGAAAGAGCUAAAUCCUUGCCAAAGGCAUUGGGGUUUACUAGUACUCUGUCUUCACUGCUGUACAUAUCAUUUGUAUAAACGCCUUCUGUCUCCGUGCUACAUGAAAUAUGAAAAGCAGUGUUGCUUCAUUGUGAAAAUGUGUACAAAGUAUUUUAUAAUAGCGAUUUAAUCAAAAGCAGCUGGUCUGUAUAAAAUUAUAAUUUUUAUGCAUAAUAGAAAGUGAAGAGAGAGCAGAGGACCUUAGUUUUUAAAUAACCUUAUAACCUUUUUUAUUAAUCUUUCUUUGCCACCCCCCACUUUUUUUAAAUGUGUGGUAAGUUAUUUUAUCUAUUUUCCCCUUGAGCCGCUUUAUAAAUAGCAAUCACUCCGGAAACAAGCCAGUUUCUAUGACUCAAAACAAAACCUAUCUGUUGGCUUUUUUUUUUAUGGCUACUGGAAGAUUAUUUAUUCAUUAAAAUAAAGAUGCGUUAGCUCUGCUCAGCACAGCGCUCUGGACUGUGCUCUUUAAGAUGGCUCUUUGGAAAGGAACAAUCAUCUGGGAACCAGAGCAAAGUGCAGAUGCGGAGGGUGUGUGCAGGAUGGAGAAUCAUCCCAGAUACUGCCACCCAGGAGCACUGCUACACCUGCAUUGGUUGAGCAUCAGAUGCAUGGACCCGACUCUCUUUCACAGUGUGGUCAUCGUUUGAGGACAUUGUAACCCAAGGCUGCUUUAGAACCUAAGAAGCCAGUAGCACUCUUUUCUUGCCAUGUGCCAACUCCACUUUUAAUUUAGUGGCUUGGAAUAAGUCUUCUUCUUUUGAAGAAAAACAUGGUUUUCUGCUGACAAGAUUGUUCUGCAGUUAAAAGCACUUGCCCUAAAGUUGGAUAGCUCACAUUCGAUCCCACGAAUCCAUUUGGCAUGAGACACCAACUCUCCCAAGUUGUCCUCUGACCUUCAUGUUUUGGGGACAUGUGUGCCUCUUCCCAGAAUGAAUAAAGGUCAUAUAUUAAGCCACUGUUUCCUGGCAAAACACUUUAUUUUCUAUAAAACUAUGUGAAGAGGCUGGAUACUUAGUUCAUCAUUAUCCCAAGCUACAAGGAUCCUGCACAAUGUUUGGUCUGUUGUGUACUGAUGUUGAAUUGAUGAAUGGUUUAGGGAAAACAAUUGGUCAUACAUUCGAUACCACUGCUACAUAAUUCACAGAAAAAAAAAUGUGUCCAUAGCGAAUAUAGACUUUUCUCAAGUCUUUUGACAUAUAUUUAGAAAUAAGUCCUUAAAGUACUAAAAUCAUUCACAUAUAGUAGCAAUACUACACACACAUGUAUAAACUAUAUGUAGGUUUUAACAUCCAGAUCUGGGUUUCUCACUGCCAAUGGGGGUCUGCAUUAGGACAGUAGACAGCAGCCAUACUUCCAAUCCAGCCUUCAGUGCUCGCUCAGAAGGUAGGUUCAAAGUAGGGUGCAGGUGACAGAGCUGAGGAGUGGAUUGUUAUGUAAAUUGUCAAGGCUGCACACCUACCAACAUUCAGAAGCAGAUUUGAAAGGCCCUGUCUCGGGCUGCGGGCUGCGUACUAUAGACCGAGCUGAAAAGAGGAGACGCCGAGUGCUUUAGAGAACCAACUCUUUCUUUUCGUCCGGGGAAAAUCAGGGUAAAGCAUUGCAACAGAUGCAAGAAACAAGUCCCUUAGGAUGAGUUUCCUCAGUGGCUAUGUCUUGGCAGAUGCUCUAAGUUUGUGGAGCAAGAUGCUGAUAUUGAUAUUUACGGAACCCAAAUCUUGAACUUAACCCGUAGGUCUCCCUCUGUCUCUUCCCGUUGGAGGUAUGAACAACCUCUCUCAGGACACUAAUAUGAAUUCCGCUGACUAAGAGGGAAUGGAGUGUCCCCCAC
Rattus norvegicus (Norway rat) is the source of this 2060-nucleotide long non-coding RNA. RefSeq lists it as uncharacterized. Lineage: Eukaryota; Metazoa; Chordata; Mammalia; Rodentia; Muridae. The record is from RefSeq and is a predicted model, not a curated record.